Molecule: transfer RNA, 66 nt
Filed under: Potamogale velox
Lineage: Eukaryota; Metazoa; Chordata; Mammalia; Afrosoricida; Tenrecidae
Description: tRNA-Thr
Source: RNAcentral
CUCUUAGUAGUAUAUAAAUUACAUUGGUCUUGUAAUCCAAAAAUGGAGCUAGCCCUCCCAAAGAGU